Molecule: ribosomal RNA, 253 nt
Filed under: uncultured bacterium
Lineage: Bacteria
Description: partial 16S ribosomal RNA
Rfam family: Bacterial small subunit ribosomal RNA
Source: RNAcentral
UACGAAGGGGGCUAGCGUUGUUCGGAAUUACUGGGCGUAAAGCGCGUGUAGGCGGACUUGUAAGUUGGGGGUGAAAUCCCGGGGCUCAACUCCGGAAUUGCCUUCAAGACUGCAAGUCUGGAGGUCAGGAGAGGCGAGCGGAAUUCCGAGUGUAGAGGUGAAAUUCGUAGAUAUUCGGAGGAACACCAGUGGCGAAGGCGGCUCGCUGGACUGAUACUGACGCUGAGGUGCGAAAGCGUGGGGAGCAAACAGG